RNAcentral lists this ribosomal RNA (322 nucleotides) under uncultured Paracercomonas. RNAcentral's name for it is "SSU rRNA". The stretch from base 105 to 322 matches the Rfam family "Eukaryotic small subunit ribosomal RNA", at positions 736 to 955 of the family's 1831-position model. The record is from RNAcentral. Lineage: Eukaryota; Cercozoa; Cercomonadida; Cercomonadidae.
GAUUUCUGGCUUGGUGCGCCUGGCCCGCCACGGUUACGUGUGUGAGUGCUGGGUCGCGCCUGCCAUCCUUCUAGAGAACGUCUCUACUCUUCAUUGAGCCGGAGUCGCAAUCUAGAUCUUUUACUUUGAAAAAAUUAGAGUGUUUAAAGCAGGCUUUUGCUAUGAAUACAUUAGCAUGGAAUAAUAAUUUAGGACUUCGGUUCUAUUUUGUUGGUUUCUAGGACUGAAGUAAUGAUUGAUAGGGAUAGUUGGGGGUGCUAGUAUUCAGCGGCCAGAGGUGAAAUUCUCGGAUUCGCUGAAGACUAACUUAUGCGAAAGCAUU